GAGCUGAAAGCAUCUAAGCUCGAAGCCUGCCUUGAAAAAUAGACAUCUAGAACUCUCAUAAAAUAUGAGUUUGAUGGAACAGAUGUGUAAGUGCG
This 95-nucleotide ribosomal RNA is filed under the name Candidatus Woesearchaeota archaeon. RNAcentral describes it as "partial 23S ribosomal RNA". The record is from RNAcentral. Lineage: Archaea; Nanobdellati; Candidatus Woesearchaeota.